AAAUGCAGGACCUCAGGCCCCACCCUAGACCUCCCGAGUCCGAAUGUGCAUUUUAAUAAGGUCUGCAAGCAGUUUUCAUGCACGUGAACCAUUUCAGAAAGUACUACUCUCAGGGGCUAGAGACUAUAAUAUACAAUUGUUCAUGAGGUCUGAUAUGUAUGUGUUGGGGAAAAUGAAUGUGGACUUGGUCCUGGUGACUGAGCAUUGGAAGGGAAGCUAGACUGUGAACAGAAGGGGGCUCACACCCAGCCACUGAACUGGUGAGGCAGGAAACAAGGAACCUCUUCUGUUACAUAUAAAAUGUUCUUGUAUGAAGACAUCAUGAGGGUUAAUUGAGUCUGACCUGGAAGAAAAUACCUAUAUGUUUAUAUGAAAAGAUCCAGGCUUCACAGUUACCAGUUCUGAGAGUGGGGAGACUUGGUUACCUGCCAUCGUGAGACCCGUUUGGAACCCUGGAACUCUGGGACCCACCGCAGCCACCAGGCCAAGCUCCUCACCCAACCCUUGAAACCAAACCAAAAAGCAGAACAAAUAUGCCUUCCUCCACUUCUUAAACAUGUUUGUAGCGGGAAACUGGAUGCAAAUGAACAGAAUGGCUCAGUAUGGAUAUGGGCAUAUGUUUAUUAAAAAAAAAUAA
Molecule: long non-coding RNA, 637 nt
Organism: Mustela lutreola (European mink)
Lineage: Eukaryota; Metazoa; Chordata; Mammalia; Carnivora; Mustelidae
Exons: 3
Source: RefSeq, a predicted model, not a curated record